CACAGCUGAGAGGGGAGCGUCAAGGCGGCGUAGAGCGGAUUACUCUGUGUUUACAUUCCGUUUACCGUCUCUUUUCUGCGUUUACUCCGAUUUUACCACAACAGCGCGCAUCUCCUGCAUCUGACCGCCUGAAGCAGGUUGAAGAGGAGCAGCAGAGUUCGGAGGCUCAUGGGAGCCCCGCACUGGAGGACGAGCAGACUUUCUCACAAUUCUGCUACACGAGAAAACUGGAGAAGACAAGUCCAAACCUCCCAGUUACAAGAAAAAGGUACGGUAAAAACAAUUACUCGGAGGUGUCGAGUCAGCAGUGUUACGGUCACCUGCGGCCCUCCGCCGACCCCC
Cyprinus carpio (common carp) is the source of this 342-nucleotide long non-coding RNA. RefSeq lists it as uncharacterized. NCBI's taxonomy places the organism in Eukaryota, Metazoa, Chordata, Actinopteri, Cypriniformes, Cyprinidae. The record is from RefSeq and is a predicted model, not a curated record.